RNAcentral lists this long non-coding RNA (2868 nucleotides) under Vitis vinifera (wine grape). RNAcentral describes it as "long non-coding RNA (VVIN_LNC003956)". Lineage: Eukaryota; Viridiplantae; Streptophyta; Magnoliopsida; Vitales; Vitaceae. The record is from RNAcentral.
AGCAAAAAAAAACUUUGGAUAAGGCAAGAAUUCUGAUCCAAAUUGGACUCUUAAUUUUUUUAUUCAUGAAUCUCAAUUUAAAUACAUAAUUAAAUUGUAGCAGACUCCUAAGUGAAUCAACUAGUAGCCCACUGUGAAAAAUUAACUAAUUUACUUAGUAGUUCCUAAAAAAUUAGGAUAGCACGUUCCACGUCUUAUUUGACUCAAACUCCAAUCACAACCAAUCUAUCAAAUAUCAGCAUUAAUUCCAACAAGUUUGCUGCAGGUGAUGCUCGUGUACUUCAACUGUGAAAGGAUACAAGAUCGCCCUCAAAAUUCAGGGAGUCGUUCUUCCCAACGUGGAGAGCGAUUCUAUGGUCUUGAAUUUGAAAUCCAACCAGUCGGAUUUGCACGAUGCUAGGGUAAUGUUUUCCCCAAUUUUUCGAUGGAAAUCCAUACCCUUCCUUUCAAAUGCUCUUCUCGGCUCCAUGGAGAUGAGAUGGUGGUGAGGCAGUGUAUUUUUCAUGAUGUUGGCACUUGAUUAAAGUUUUAUUUGAACAAGAAAAGUUUGCAAAGGUGGGUUUUUCCCACCGUAGUGCAGUAUGUUAUAAUUCGUUGCUCCCAUGGCCUCAUUUUGAUUAUGUUAUUUUGUCGUGGUUGUUAGAUUUGGAGAUGGGUUCUAGGUGGACUGUUUCAUUUCAUGUGUUGAAUUUAAGUUACCCAAAUUAUAUCAUGCUUGUUACUUAUUUGAUGAAAUGUUUGAGUAGUAUUUUCGUAAAUUCUGCAUGUGGAAAUAGAAAGAUAUUGGAUGCGUGAAAAUGGAAAUGGAAAAGAUCCCAUUGAGAGAAAAUUAAAGAGGAUCAAGCAAUCCCAAGAUGAGAGCCCGUUAGUGUGAAAGACAUCAAAAUAUACCUACGUGAGCCUCCACAUGAGUAUAUCGAAGUGCGGCUAUACAUCCUUUAGUGAAAUCCUGAGAACAAGGUUGCAUUGUAUGGAUGAAUAAGCAUAUUUACAUGCACUGAGUGGUAUCUGUUGAGAUCUUUGAUUUAUUGAUUUGCAUAGAGUUGUGAGUAAUUGGAAAUCUUCCAUAUAUGGUGAUUAUAAAAAUGUUUGGUUUUGGGAUACAUUGCUCAUGUGUGUAAUAAUGUGAUUUAUUUAUGUGUUUUUCCCAAGGUAGAAAAACCCCUACUAAAGCAUAAACAUUUCAUGCUUGCCCUCAUCCCCUAUAGUUUAGAUGUAGUUUUGGAGGAACCUCUUACAUGAAUAAAAGCAUUAGAGGAUGUAGGGUUGAUAAAUAAUUGAUAUCAUGCUUCUGUGUCCAUCAUGUUUUGGAUGCUUGGUUGGUUAUCUUAAAGCAUUGCUGUUUUGCUCUUUGCAUCCCUUGCUAUAAUUUUAGGCGUGCUCUUAAAUCAUAUAUAGGAUUAGGCAUGUGAGACAAUCAUAUACCUUUUGAUUUAUAACUUCAUUUGAAAAACCUUGACUUGUAAUUCCAUACAUACGAAGGAAAUGGUGCUAAGGCUGAAUAUGGAGAUAGAGAUUUGAACUCAUGUUCAGCUAAGUGAUGUAAGAAGCAUAAUGGAAAUUAAAUUUAGCCAUUUGGUUAGGUAAUAGUAUGUAUGUUGGCUUGAACUUGAAAGUUUUUGAAAUGUGGGGAUGGAAUCUUAUGGAAAGCCUUGAGGCUAACUGUUACACGAUUAGAUUUAUAUAUGUUCUUGUAUAUGGUUUGAGAAACAAAGUAUAUGUAGAAGAUUGGCAGCUUCCAUGUGAAGCCUGAAGUUCAUGUUGAGAGUUGCCUUAGAUGUCUCUUUGAGAUUGAGUACUUGUGUGCAAAGAUUGGAAGCAGGGAAAUGGUGAAAAGGGUAUUGUAUGGAAGAAAAUCUGGAAACUGGCCAUCAUGUGAGCAAAAAAAGAUUGUGCCACCCAACCGAUCAAGUGGUACCACUAACCGGCCAAUCAACUACGUAACAUGGACCCCACUACCUAAGGGCCAGUCUAUAGCCAUGCAGAGCCAAUCGAUUGGCACCUGAUCGAUUGGCACCUGGUCGAUCGUUCAUUCCCUUUGUUUGCAUUGUUAGCCUAUACUCCACUUUUUGAUCCCUUUGGAGCCUUAGAAGCAUAUGUUAGGUCCUUAAAACCCUUUUAGGAUUGUUAAUGGGUCUCAUUGAUAGCUUUAGAUCAUGUGGUUCUGGAAUAUGACUAAUUCAAUAUUUUAAUUAGAUUAAAUGAACAUACUAGACCAUGUUAACUGGUAGCUAGGUCAAUUUUACCUUCGGGGUUAAACCUUCAACCCCAAAAUUGUGGUUUGGCUUUUGGGUCAUUUGGAACCCUGGUUGGGACAACAUGGUACCAAAGCUUGAAGUUGCAAUAGUACUUUGGGAUUGUUUAUUUUACACAUGCUUACAUAGCUUUUGUUACAUAUUAUUAUUCUUAACCAUGAUUAUUAAUUGGAUAAGAUAUUAACAUGUGAUGAGAUGGUGAGAGUGUUGGAAUGGCACGCAUAUGUCUCAAUACGAUACACUGAACCCGUGAUGUUGAUUAGUUUUGUUAAAUGAUAUGUUGAGUGCUUGUUUGAUUAUUGCUUUGAAUUUCUUGCUAUAUUUGUAUUCUUGCUGCACCUCCUUGGUAAUCAUCCUUGAGGUUGACUUCAUUUGGGAAACUAUUGGAAACUAGCUGGCAUGGCAGGAAAAUCAAGGAGGGGUAGGCUCAGGCACCAUCACCAUUAUCAGUGGCAAAUUUGUUAGGAGAUGAGGUAUCUGAAUUAAGACAGAAGUUGAGGGAGAUGACCCAAGCUUUUAGCAAUCAAAGGUGGGGAGUAGCAGGAAACACCUUUUCAGUAAGAUGGUUCAGGGGCAUGUGACCUAGAGAGCCUCAAGCCAAGAUACACACGAG